Molecule: ribosomal RNA, 495 nt
Filed under: uncultured bacterium
Lineage: Bacteria
Description: partial 16S ribosomal RNA
Rfam family: Bacterial small subunit ribosomal RNA
Source: RNAcentral
AUUGAACGCUGGCGGAAUGCUUUACACAUGCAAGUCGAACGGCAGCACGGACUUCGGUCUGGUGGCGAGUGGCGAACGGGUGAGUAAUGUAUCGGAACGUGCCCAGUCGUGGGGGAUAACGUAGUGAAAAUUACGCUAAUACCGCAUACGAUCUAUGGAUGAAAGCGGGGGAUCGCAAGACCUCGCGCGAUUGGAGCGGCCGAUAUCAGAUUAGGUAGUUGGUGGGGUAAAGGCCCACCAAGCCAACGAUCUGUAGCUGGUCUGAGAGGACGACCAGCCACACUGGAACUGAGACACGGUCCAGACUCCUACGGGAGGCAGCAGUGGGGAAUUUUGGACAAUGGGCGAAAGCCUGAUCCAGCCAUUCCGCGUGCAGGAUGAAGGCCCUCGGGUUGUAAACUCCUUUUGCGGGGGAAAAAUGGCAGCGUGAAGAACGCCGUUCGAUGGUACUCCGCGAAUAAGCCACGGCUAACUUCGUGCCAGCCGCCGCGGUAA